GACAGAGGCCUCGAGCGUUAGGCGGAAUCACUGGGCUUAAAGCGUGUGUAGGCGGCUGCCUAAGUACCUUGUGAAAUCCCACGGCUCACCCGUGGAACCGCUGGGUAUACUGGGCAUCUUGGGCCAUUCAGGGGCAACUGGAACAAGCGGUGGAGCGGUGAAAUGCGUAGAUAUCGCUUGGAACGCCGACGGUGAAAACAGGUUGCUGGGAAUGUGCCGACGCUGAGACACGAAAGCCAGGGGAGCAAACGGG
This 253-nucleotide ribosomal RNA is filed under the name uncultured bacterium. Its description in RNAcentral is "partial 16S ribosomal RNA". It matches the Rfam family "Bacterial small subunit ribosomal RNA", at positions 524 to 776 of the family's 1533-position model. The record is from RNAcentral.